CUCCCACCAUCUUCAGCCCUGAGACUUGCCUUUAUGCUCACCAACUUCUGUUGAUUCUGAUGUUCCUUCCCUAAUUCCCAAGGAUGACUGAGGCUGCUUGAAUGCCAUUCCAGAUUUAGAAAAACUUCACUGACCAGAGUGUGAAAGUCCUGCUCUUAUCUCCCUACUGUGGCUGCAAUGGCUGCCAGGCAGGCUGAACAGACCACUCUGUGUUGGCCAGGAAAUAACAGGUAAAAGAGAAAGAAGCUUUACAAGUGGUGGAGAAGUGCUAGGAAACGAAAGCCAUCGCUCUGGCACAUGUGAUGCCAAGGAUGAAACUGAAGACCUUCAGCAAGCGAGCAAAGCUUGUGCUCCACAACUGAAGAAAGAAGCUAAUAAAACAUCUCUGAACUUUGUGGAAAAAAAAAGACUGCUGGGAAGACCUGCAUCACUCACCUGGAUCAAACCUCACCACCAAGACACAGAGGAGAACAGCAGCCAGGAUGCUCUUUUUGAAGGGCAAGGAACAGAAAUGUCUCACUGCAAAGUCCCAAAACUUUUGAAGCAAUGUCAGU
Long non-coding RNA from Erinaceus europaeus (western European hedgehog), 554 nucleotides. RefSeq lists it as uncharacterized. NCBI's taxonomy places the organism in Eukaryota, Metazoa, Chordata, Mammalia, Eulipotyphla, Erinaceidae. The transcript is spliced from 5 exons. The record is from RefSeq and is a predicted model, not a curated record.